Molecule: ribosomal RNA, 465 nt
Filed under: Paenibacillus rhizosphaerae
Lineage: Bacteria; Bacillati; Bacillota; Bacilli; Caryophanales; Paenibacillaceae
Description: bacterial SSU rRNA
Rfam family: Bacterial small subunit ribosomal RNA
Source: RNAcentral
UUCUUGGAGAGUUUGAUCCUGGCUCAGGACGAACGCUGGCGGCGUGCCUAAUACAUGCAAGUCGAGCGGACUUGAUGGAGAGCUUGCUCUCCUGAUGGUUAGCGGCGGACGGGUGAGUAACACGUAGGCAACCUGCCUGCAAGACCGGGAUAACCCACGGAAACGUGAGCUAAUACCGGAUAUCUCAUUUCCUCUCCUGAGGGAAUGACGAAAGACGGAGCAAUCUGUCACUUGCGGAUGGGCCUGCGGCGCAUUAGCUAGUUGGUGAGGUAACGGCUCACCAAGGCGACGAUGCGUAGCCGACCUGAGAGGGUGAACGGCCACACUGGGACUGAGACACGGCCCAGACUCCUACGGGAGGCAGCAGUAGGGAAUCUUCCGCAAUGGGCGAAAGCCUGACGGAGCAACGCCGCGUGAGUGAUGAAGGUUUUCGGAUCGUAAAGCUCUGUUGCCAGGGAAGAACGU